GGGUGAGUAAUGCCUAGGAAUCUGCCUGGUAGUGGGGGAUAACGUCCGGAAACGGGCGCUAAUACCGCAUACGUCCUGAGGGAGAAAGUGGGGGAUCUUCGGACCUCACGCUAUCAGAUGAGCCUAGGUCGGAUUAGCUAGUUGGUGGGGUAAAGGCCUACCAAGGCGACGAUCCGUAACUGGUCUGAGAGGAUGAUCAGUCACACUGGAACUGAGACACGGUCCAGACUCCUACGGGAGGCAGCAGUGGGGAAUAUUGGACAAUGGGCGAAAGCCUGAUCCAGCCAUGCCGCGUGUGUGAAGAAGGUCUUCGGAUUGUAAAGCACUUUAAGUUGGGAGGAAGGGCAGUAAGUUAAUACCUUGCUGUUUUGACGUUACCAACAGAAUAAGCACCGGCUAACUUCGUGCCAGCAGCCGCGGUAAUACGAAGGGUGCAAGCGUUAAUCGGAAUUACUGGGCGUAAAGCGCGCGUAGGUGGUUCAGCAAGUUGGAUGUGAAAUCCCCGGGCUCAACCUGGGAACUGCAUCCAAAACUACUGAGCUAGAGUACGGUAGAGGGUGGUGGAAUUUCCUGUGUAGCGGUGAAAUGCGUAGAUAUAGGAAGGAACACCAGUGGCGAAGGCGACCACCUGGACUGAUACUGACACUGAGGUGCGAAAGCGUGGGGAGCAAACAG
This 675-nucleotide ribosomal RNA is filed under the name Pseudomonas aeruginosa. RNAcentral's name for it is "bacterial SSU rRNA". It matches the Rfam family "Bacterial small subunit ribosomal RNA", at positions 104 to 775 of the family's 1533-position model. Lineage: Bacteria; Pseudomonadati; Pseudomonadota; Gammaproteobacteria; Pseudomonadales; Pseudomonadaceae. The record is from RNAcentral.